RNAcentral lists this long non-coding RNA (747 nucleotides) under Astyanax mexicanus (Mexican tetra). RNAcentral describes it as "lncRNA (ENSAMXG00005009806.1)". Lineage: Eukaryota; Metazoa; Chordata; Actinopteri; Characiformes; Acestrorhamphidae. The record is from RNAcentral.
CGCGGUCCUCACGAGCGCACUGAUUUUACCUCAGAAAAACAACUCGUAUUUAAAGUGAUUUAAACCGGAUUAUUCCUGGGUGUUGUGAAGCGUUUAUGUUCAAUCACUUCCUACAAACAGAAAACGACUAAUUUCCCACGAGUCUGGUUUGGCAAGAACUGUCAGAAAGCUGCUGUCCGCCAGCCGCUGCUGGACCUCCAGGUCCCGCUCGCUUGUGAGACCGUCGGUGGAAUUCAGCAUCUGCAUGAUUUCUGCUUCAAAACACUACAAAUAAGCACUUCUCGUCCUGAAGUCCUGAAGUCUAUCUGAAGUUUAUCUCCCACAGGCCUGACUGUACUGGGCUGAAUGAUGGACUCUCAAGAGGGGUAUCUGGUUGGUGUUCUGAUACUGCUUCCUCCAUGAGGUGCAUCAAUUUUACACAUUCUACAAAUAUGUGAGUUUGACUCAGAUACAGUAAAACAAAAACAAAAAUUAGGAAUGAUUGAUUAGGUCUGAAAGUACAAAUAGUUUUAAGUUUCAUUUAUAGUCAUGCUGUGGUAAAUAACCCAAAACUGGAAACCAUCCCACAAGAAUUUCUUGAUGUUUUAGAGAUGCUUUAAUUACAUCAUCUAGCCAUCACAAUUAGAUUCAUAUCAGAGUGUCUCUGAUUCAUAUGCUUGUAAUUUCCCCUACUUCCUACAUAUCAACUUCAAGAUGUAAGACCUUAUAUAGACCCUUGACAAUAAUAAAACCAUUAAAAGUAGAUCA